GGGGAAUAUUGCGCAAUGGGCGAAAGCCUGACGCAGCAACGCCGCGUGAGGGAUGACGGCCUUCGGGUUGUAAACCUCUUUCAGCAGGGAAGAAGCGAAAGUGACGGUACCUGCAGAAGAAGCACCGGCUAACUACGUGCCAGCAGCCGCGGUAAUACGUAGGGUGCAAGCGUUGUCCGGAUUUAUUGGGCGUAAAGAGCUCGUAGGCGGUUAGUCACGUCGGAUGUGAAAACCCGGAGCUUAACUCCGGGCCUGCAUUCGAUACGGGCUGACUAGAGUGUUGUAGGGGAGACUGGAACUCCUGGUGUAGCGGUGAAAUGCGCAGAUAUCAGGAAGAACACCGGUGGCGAAGGCGGGUCUCUGGGCAACUACUGACGCUGAGGAGCGAAAGCGUGGGGAGCAAAC
This 405-nucleotide ribosomal RNA is filed under the name uncultured bacterium. Its description in RNAcentral is "bacterial SSU rRNA". It matches the Rfam family "Bacterial small subunit ribosomal RNA", at positions 356 to 773 of the family's 1533-position model. The record is from RNAcentral.